This 29-nucleotide non-coding RNA is filed under the name Cricetulus griseus (Chinese hamster). The record is from RNAcentral. Lineage: Eukaryota; Metazoa; Chordata; Mammalia; Rodentia; Cricetidae.
GUUUAUCUCCUGUGCAGCAUCUGAUUUCC